This 511-nucleotide ribosomal RNA is filed under the name uncultured Bacillota bacterium. RNAcentral describes it as "bacterial SSU rRNA". It matches the Rfam family "Bacterial small subunit ribosomal RNA", at positions 393 to 896 of the family's 1533-position model. Lineage: Bacteria; Bacillati; Bacillota. The record is from RNAcentral.
AACGCCGCGUGAGCGAAGAAGGCCUUCGGGUCGUAAAGCUCUGUUGUAAGGGAAGAACACGUGCCAUUUAACUGAUGGCACCUUGACGGUACCUUACGAGAAAGCCACGGCUAACUACGUGCCAGCAGCCGCGGUAAUACGUAGGUGGCAAGCGUUGUCCGGAUUUAUUGGGCGUAAAGCGCGCGCAGGCGGUCCUUUAAGUCUGAUGUGAAAGCCCACGGCUCAACCGUGGAGGGUCAUUGGAAACUGGGGGACCUGAGUGCAGAAGAGGAAAGCGGAAUUCCACGUGUAGCGGUGAAAUGCGUAGAGAUGUGGAGGAACACCAGUGGCGAAGGCGGCUUUCUGGUCUGUAACUGACGCUGAGGCGCGAAAGCGUGGGGAGCAAACAGGAUUAGAUACCCUGGUAGUCCACGCCGUAAACGAUGAGUGCUAAGUGUUAGGGGGUUUCCGCCCCUUAGUGCUGCAGCUAACGCAUUAAGCACUCCGCCUGGGGAGUACGGCCGCAAGGCUG